RNAcentral lists this long non-coding RNA (341 nucleotides) under Ananas comosus (pineapple). RNAcentral describes it as "long non-coding RNA (ACOM_LNC035594)". Lineage: Eukaryota; Viridiplantae; Streptophyta; Magnoliopsida; Poales; Bromeliaceae. The record is from RNAcentral.
UAAGUGCAGUUGGCUAAAAGUUAUGAUUGGUAUCCAAGAUUUUGAUGGCUUAAUAGAGCCAGCGUUCUACCCUGUGGCUGGAGGUCAUGUUGGGCUGCGUCAUGUUCAAAAUGACGGAAGGCCAGAUUGGACCGAAUCAUGUUCGAAGAGGCAUGAGACUAGUUGAGCGGAGUCACAAUCAAGACCUAUUGGCGUUGUGUCUGCUUUAAGUAAAUUGAUUGCGUAUUUCUAACAGCUCGAGUUUUCGAGAUUAAUAGUUAACGUCAACGAUCUGACAAUUUUAAGUUCGAAUUCUAAUUGCUUCAUAUUUUCUAUCUUAUUUUAUUUCUAAUAAAACUUGU